UACGUAGGGUGCGAGCGUUGUCCGGAAUUAUUGGGCGUAAAGAGCUCGUAGGCGGUGUGUCACGUCGGCCGUGAAAACCUGCAGCUUAACUGUGGGCGUGCGGUCGAUACGGGCAUCACUGGAGUUCGGCAGGGGAGACUGGAAUUCCUGGUGUAGCGGUGAAAUGCGCAGAUAUCAGGAGGAACACCGGUGGCGAAGGCGGGUCUCUGGGCCGAUACUGAGACACGAAGGCCAGGGGAGCAAACGGG
This 248-nucleotide ribosomal RNA is filed under the name uncultured bacterium. Its description in RNAcentral is "partial 16S ribosomal RNA". It matches the Rfam family "Bacterial small subunit ribosomal RNA", at positions 524 to 776 of the family's 1533-position model. The record is from RNAcentral.